GGUCUGGUGGUGUAGUUGGUUAUCACGUCAGUCUAACAGCUCGAGAGUCUCACCGCUCCCGUCUGCCACACUGAAGGUCUCCGGUUCAAGUCCGGGCUAGAUCA
Molecule: non-coding RNA, 104 nt
Organism: Colletotrichum higginsianum
Lineage: Eukaryota; Fungi; Ascomycota; Sordariomycetes; Glomerellales; Glomerellaceae
Source: Rfam